RNAcentral lists this transfer RNA (83 nucleotides) under Oscillospiraceae bacterium. Its description in RNAcentral is "tRNA-Leu". It matches the Rfam family "tRNA". Rfam says of the family: Transfer RNA (tRNA) molecules are approximately 80 nucleotides in length. Lineage: Bacteria; Bacillati; Bacillota; Clostridia; Eubacteriales; Oscillospiraceae. RNAcentral also lists the same sequence under 1 other name. The record is from RNAcentral.
GCGGGUGUGGCGGAAUUGGCAGACGCACUAGCCUUAGGAGCUAGCGGAUCACCGUGCAGGUUCAAGUCCUGUCACCCGCACCA